GCUGCUGGAGGCGUUCAGAGCGCGGAGGCCCCAGGCGCGGGCCGGGCUCUCUCCCGCCUCCUCAGGCCCGGGGGUGCUGGAGCUGCCGAGGUGGGGGCUCAUCUUUGGGAGACAGGUGGGGAGUGUGAGAGACCGCGCAGCGGCGACAGGGCCGGGCGUGCCUGUGUGACGUGGGUGCAGCUGUGGGACUGUGAGGGGUGCGUGGUCGACCUUGCGUAACCUGGAUGUGCAGUGCGUGUCCUUUGCAAAGCGUGCGUUGCUGUGGCUCCGUGGCGUCAGCAACCCUUCCCUGCUGUUUCCUUUGUCCUCCUCUCAGUCAAGUAUGACUGCCACAGAGAAAUGGUCCCAUCCAGGAAAUCAGAUAUUGAGUCCUACCUGAGUUUCCAGCAAGAAGUGUCUUUGCUCAGUUCAAAAGCCACAGAAGAAGUUCUGGACGAUGUGGGCCUUCAAUCUUCUAAGAUGGGAAUAGAAAGAAGAGGAUCUACCCAGACCAGGACCCUGCUGCCCAAUCUCAGCUCUGGCUUUCUGGAUCUGUGCUUCUCUGGUAGAGGAACCCUGAGGACUGAUCUACUCUUGCAGUUCUAAAACCAUGGCCCAUGACAUGACUUUUCUAAGCCAGAUGUAAUUACAUCAUUGGAGCAAGGAAAAGAGCCCUGGAUGAUUGUAAGGGAAGAAAAAGGAAGAUGGUGUACAGGCCUCGCUAUUCCCUGGGACACAACAAUAUUGAACGUAGGCUAGUUAAUAGCCCUACAAUCUCCUCUAAGUGUUCGAGUGAAAGGAAGAGUCACAUGUGUCUCACUUUAAACCAAAAGCUAGAAAUGAUUAAACUUAGUGAGGAAAGCAUGUUGAAAGUCCAGACAGGCUGGAAGCGAGGUCUCCUGUGCCAAACAGCAGGCCAAGUUGCACAUGCAAAGGAAAUGUUCUCGAAGCAAAUUAAAAGUAUUACUCCAGUGAACACACAAUGACAAGAAAGCGAAACAGUUUUAUUGCUGAUGUGGAGAAAGUUUUAGUGGUCUGGAUAGAAGAUCAAACCAGCCACAACGUUCUGUUAAGCCUAAACCUAAUCCAGAGCAAGGCCCUAAUGCUCUUCAAUUCUAUGGAGGCUGAGAGUUGAGGAAGCUGUGGAAGAAAAGUUUGAAGCUAGCAGAGAAUAAUUCAUG
RNAcentral lists this long non-coding RNA (1160 nucleotides) under Homo sapiens (human). Its description in RNAcentral is "HSALNT0397870". The record is from RNAcentral. Lineage: Eukaryota; Metazoa; Chordata; Mammalia; Primates; Hominidae.